AUUGCCCUAGUAACGGCGAGUGAAGCGGCAACAGCUCAAAUUUGAAAUCUGGCCCUCGGGUCCGAGUUGUAAUUUGUAGAGGAUGCUUUUGGUGAGGUGCCUUCCGAGUUCCCUGGAACGGGACGCCAUAGAGGGUGAGAGCCCCGUCUGGUUGGACACCGAACCUCUGUAAAGCUCCUUCGACGAGUCGAGUAGUUUGGGAAUGCUGCUCUAAAUGGGAGGUAUAUGUCUUCUAAAGCUAAAUACCGGCCAGAGACCGAUAGCGCACAAGUAGAGUGAUCGAAAGAUGAAAAGCACUUUGAAAAGAGAGUUAAAAAGUACGUGAAAUUGUUGAAAGGGAAGCGCUUAUGACCAGACUUGGGCUUGGUUGAUCAUCCUGGGUUCUCCCUGGUGCACUCUUCCAGUUCAGGCCAGCAUCAGUUCGCUGCGGGGGAUAAAAGCUUUAGGAAUGUGGCUCCUUCGGGAGUGUUAUAGCCUAUUGCAUAAUACCCUGCUCCGGACUGAGGUUCGCGCAUCUGCAAGGAUGCUGGCGUAAUGGUCAUCAGCGACCCGUCUUGAAACACGGACCAAGGAGUCGUCUUCGUAUGCGAGUGUUCGGGUGUUAAACCCCUACGCGUAAUGAAAGUGAACGCAGGUGAGAGCUUCGGCGCAUCAUCGACCGAUCCUGAUGUUCUCGGAUGGAUUUGAGUAAGAGCAUACGGGGCCGGACCCGAAAGAAGGUGAACUAUGCCUGUAUAGGGUGAAGCCAGAGGAAACUCUGGUGGAGGCUCGCAGCGGUUCUGACGUGCAAAUCGAUCGUCAAAUAUGGGCAUGGGGGCGAAAGACUAAUCGAACCUUCUAGUAGCUGGUUUCCGCCGAAGUUUCCCUCAGGA
This 872-nucleotide ribosomal RNA is filed under the name Calonectria machaerinae. RNAcentral's name for it is "eukaryotic LSU rRNA". It matches the Rfam family "Eukaryotic large subunit ribosomal RNA", at positions 74 to 978 of the family's 3401-position model. Lineage: Eukaryota; Fungi; Ascomycota; Sordariomycetes; Hypocreales; Nectriaceae. The record is from RNAcentral. RNAcentral also lists the same sequence under 2 other names.